RNAcentral lists this ribosomal RNA (429 nucleotides) under Actinomycetes bacterium. RNAcentral's name for it is "Actinobacteria bacterium partial 16S ribosomal RNA". It matches the Rfam family "Bacterial small subunit ribosomal RNA", at positions 355 to 776 of the family's 1533-position model. Lineage: Bacteria; Bacillati; Actinomycetota; Actinomycetes. The record is from RNAcentral.
UAGGGAAUCUUCCGCAAUGGGCGAAAGCUUGACGGAGCAACGCCGCGUGAGUGAUGAAGGUCUUCGGAUCGUAAAACUCUGUUAUUAGGGAAGAACAUAUGUGUAAGUAACUAUGCACGUCUUGACGGUACCUAAUCUGAAAGCCACGGCUAACUACGUGCCAGCAGCCGCGGUAAUACGUAGGUGGCAAGCGUUAUCCGGAAUUAUUGGGCGUAAAGCGCGCGUAGGCGGUUUUUUACGUCUGAUGUGAAAGCCCACGGCUCAACCGUGGAGGGUCAUUGGAAACUGGAAAACUUGAGUGCAGAAGAGGAAAGUGGAAUUCCAUGUGUAGCGGUGAAAUGCGCAGAGAUAUGGAGGAACACCAGUGGCGAAGGCGACUUUCUGGUCUGUAACUGACGCUGAUGUGCGAAAGCGUGGGGAUCAAACAGG